This 113-nucleotide microRNA precursor is filed under the name Tupaia belangeri (northern tree shrew). RNAcentral describes it as "miRNA (ENSTBEG00000020626.1)". The record is from RNAcentral. Lineage: Eukaryota; Metazoa; Chordata; Mammalia; Scandentia; Tupaiidae.
CAUUCGAAGCUUCCCUCAGGAUAUCUUUUGCUCUAGCAAGACUCCUCCCGAGAGAGGCAGUUUUAUACGGUAAAGCGAAUGAUUAGAGGUCUUGGGAACGAAACGAUCUCAAC